This 771-nucleotide ribosomal RNA is filed under the name uncultured archaeon. RNAcentral describes it as "bacterial SSU rRNA". It matches the Rfam family "Archaeal small subunit ribosomal RNA", at positions 1 to 769 of the family's 1478-position model. The record is from RNAcentral.
GCCCUUUUCCGGUUGAUCCUGCCGGAAGCCAUUGCUAUCGGAGUCCGAUUUAGCCAUGCUAGUCGCACGGGUUAGACCCGUGGCGGAUAGCUCAGUAACACGUGGCCAAACUACCCUGUGGACCAGGACACUCUCGGGAAACUGAGGCUAAUCCUGGAUACAGCUUCCAGCCUGGAGUGGCGGAAGCUGGAAACGCUCCGGCGCCACAGGAUGUGGCUGCGGCCGAUUAGGUAGACGGUGGGGUAACGGCCCACCGUGCCAGUAAUCGGUACGGGUGAUGAGAGUCAGAGCCCGGAGACGGUAUCUGAGACAAGAUACCGGGCCCUACGGGGCGCAGCAGGCGCGAAACCUUUACACUGCACGACAGUGCGAUAAGGGGACUCCGAGUGCGAGGGCAUACAGUCCUCGCUUUUCUGUACCGUAAGGUGGUACAGGAACAAGUGCUGGGCAAGACCGGUGCCAGCCGCCGCGGUAAUACCGGCAGCACAAGUGAUGGCCGAUAUUAUUGGGCCUAAAGCGUCCGUAGCCGGCCGGACAAGUCUGUUGGGAAAUCCACGCGCCCAACGCGUGGGCGUCCAGCGGAAACUGUCCGGCUUGGGGCCGGAGGACUCGAGGGGUACGUCCGGGGUAGGAGUGAAAUCCCGUAAUCCUGGACGGACCACCGGUGGCGAAAGCGCCUCGAGAAGACGGACCCGACGGUGAGGGACGAAAGCCAGGGUCUCGAACCGGAUUAGAUACCCGGGUAGUCCUGGCCGUAAACGAUGUCUGCUA